GAUGAAUGCUGGCGGCGUGCCUAACACAUGCAAGUCGAGCGGCAGCGCGCGGAGUUUACUCUGUGGCGGCGAGCGGCGGACGGCUGAGUAACGCGUGGGAACAUGCCCCAAAGUGAGGAAUAACUGCCCGAAAGGGUGGCUAAUACCGCAUAUGGUCUUCGGAUUAAAGGAUUUAUCCGCUUUGGGAGUGGCCUGCGUACCAUUAGAUUGUUGGUGAGGUAAUGGCUCACCAAGUCGACGAUCGUUAACUGGUCUGAGAGGAUGAUCAGUCAGACUGGAACUGAGACACGGUCCAGACUCCUACGGGAGGCAGCAGUGAGGAAUCUUCCACAAUGGGCGAAAGCCUGAUGGAGCAACGCCGCGUGCAGGAUGAAGGCCUUCGGGUUGUAAACUGCUUUUAUAAGUGAAGAAUAUGACGGUAACUUGUGAAUAAGCACCGGCUAACUACGUGCCAGCAGCCGCCGUA
RNAcentral lists this ribosomal RNA (466 nucleotides) under uncultured bacterium. RNAcentral's name for it is "partial 16S ribosomal RNA". It matches the Rfam family "Bacterial small subunit ribosomal RNA", at positions 28 to 522 of the family's 1533-position model. The record is from RNAcentral.